Molecule: ribosomal RNA, 468 nt
Filed under: uncultured bacterium
Lineage: Bacteria
Description: partial 16S ribosomal RNA
Rfam family: Bacterial small subunit ribosomal RNA
Source: RNAcentral
GACGAACGCUGGCGGCGUGCUUAACACAUGCGAGUCGAACGGAAAGGCCCUGCUUUUGUGGGGUGCUCGAGUGGCGAACGGGUGAGUAACACGUGAGUAACCUGCCCUUGACUUUGGGAUAACUUCAGGAAACUGGGGCUAAUACCGGAUAGGAGCUCCUGCUGCAUGGUGGGGGUUGGAAAGUUUCGGCGGUUGGGGAUGGACUCGCGGCUUAUCAGCUUGUUGGUGGGGUAGUGGCUUACCAAGGCUUUGACGGGUAGCCGGCCUGAGAGGGUGACCGGCCACAUUGGGACUGAGAUACGGCCCAGACUCCUACGGGAAGCAACAGUGGGGAAUAUUGCACAGUGGGCGGAAGCCUGAUGCAGCAACGCCGCGUGCGGGAUGACGGCCUUCGGGCUGUAAACCGCUUUCGCCUGUGACGAAGCGUGAGUGACGGUAAUGGGUAAAGAAGCACCGGCUAACUACGUG